GUAGGUGAAACUGCGG
This 16-nucleotide ribosomal RNA is filed under the name Fomitiporia bambusarum. RNAcentral describes it as "partial 18S ribosomal RNA". Lineage: Eukaryota; Fungi; Basidiomycota; Agaricomycetes; Hymenochaetales; Hymenochaetaceae. The record is from RNAcentral.